UGGACAUGCAACGAAAUAACUAGCAAAGAGACCUUGUUUCAACAUCAAAUAUGUUUCCGUAAGGCCAGAUUCUUGGGCAAAGUUGUUUUAGCGAUCUGGUUGCAACUAAGUAUUGGAGUUGUUGUGCCUUGAAGCUAGAAACUGCCUUGAAUUUCUACAUAGGGAAAUGUAAUCUAUUGCUUUCUUACAGGUAAACGUUUAUCAUGCAAAUAUUGCUCUCUCCUUGGCGAUACCUUGUUGGUAGAAGUAGAAUUUAAAAUAUAUUAUUGCCAUUUGCCAGCUGACCUGUGACACAGCAGCAGUGUAUUACAUUUUCAAUGAGCAGUCUGUCUGGAGCUGCUAGUGGGAGAAACUGCUUCCUGGUUUCUAGGGGAGGCAGAUGAUGAAUAAAUGAACAAAAAAUAUAAUAAUGGAUAUGUAUUUAUAAGUGCUAUGAAGAGAAGAAAUCCAAGCAAGAAGAGAGUGAAAUGAGGUAUCCUGUAAGAACAAAUUGCUGCCUCCUCCAGGUGGAAAGGGAUCAAAUAUAAUUAAUCUGUGUGUGCCACACAGUAGCUUGAUAGUUUAAUUGAGGAAUGUUGACAUAUUGAGAGCUCAGCAUUACUUUCUGCUAUCAGCAGUGACGGCAUAAGAGCUGUAUCCUAACUGCACUGCUGAAUUUGGGCUUCCUGUGGGGGCACGGCAAGUGCCCUCUUUGAGAGUGAGGAGGCUGAGAGUCUCACACCAACAGGAAUGAGUGCUUUGAAAUUAACUGGUGUUUGGAAAUUGAUCUGAAGCCAGUGCCUGGGAUUCUGAGAUGCAGCCACAUCAUAAAGUUUCAUUACUCAAUUGCAGUAGAGAAAACCUCAAAGGAACCACUUCUAAUGGAAACUGCCUCAAUUCCUGGUCAAGUCUCACAGUCUAACCUGGAGGUGCUCUGAGAUGUGACUAAGUUAAGGAUUUUGAGAUGAAGAGACCAUCCUGAAUUAUCUGAGUGGGUCCUGAAUGUCAUCACAAGAAGCCUUAGAAGAGAGAAGCAUGAAAACCAGAAGAGGAGGAAGAGGCAACCGGGCCAUGAAGACAAGAGAUUAGAGUGAUGUGGCCACAAGUCAAGAAGUGCCGGCCUCCAGCAAAAAACUGGAAGUCAGGAGCAGGAUCUCUCCUAGAGCCUGUGGAGGGAAUGUAACCCUGCCAAUAACUUGAUUUUGGCCCAGAGAAACUGACUUCAGACUUCUGGCCUUCAGGAUGGCGAGAGAAUUAAAUCGCUGUUGUUUUUAGCCCAGUAUGUGGUAAUUUUGUUACAACAGCCACAGAAAACUAGUACAGUGGAUUUUUAGCAGUAGAAUUAAAUUAGCAGUGGAUUAAAGAGCAGUAGAAUUGUGAUUUUAUCAACACUUACUGGAUGGCAGAUUUCCUCUGCAGCAGAAGAGAAUAAAAUGUUGCCUAGGUGAUGCUGACCACCAAAACUUCUGCCAUGGACUCAGCAGUGUGAACAGACCCUGGGAAUCUAUGUACACAUAAAACACCAUGAACAUUUUGCAUUUUCUGAUUUGAACUGAAUAGGCGUUCUACUCUGUAAAUAUUUACAAAAAAACUAAAUAUAUAUUUAUGUUAACCCUUUGCUAGAGAUUUUUAAACAAACAAAAAAAUACCAGAUCUUAUUCACCAUUUUUGAUGUCAGUAAAGUGUGUUACGCAAAUUGGCUUCAAAAAUUAAAACCUGUAACAAACUUUGAGUCUUGAAAUGCAUGCUAUGUAUGAUCUUAAAAACAUGUAGGUAGGCUUAUUAGUUCAUAGAGGUUCAUAGUAUUUCAUAUGUUUUUCAGACUAUAUGUAGGGAAUUGCUGACAAAUCUUGGUAUCACUAAAUCCAUUAUCAUGUUCUGAAAUGUCACCAAAUUGAGCCUACAUAUUGUGAAGAGUGAGUGUAUGGCCAUAUAGUGUAUGGCCUCAAGAUUUUGUCUUAUAAUUUAAGUUUCAAUGUCCACACCUCAUCUAAAUUAGGGUACCAUUUGGACUAUCAUGUUUAAUAAAUUUACCACUAAGUAAUUACAUUAAAAACAAAUUUAUCUUAAAGAUGUAUAAAUUGUUUUCAUUGAAGAAGGUAGUUACUUUGGUAGCCUGUUAACAAAGCCCUGGGAAUUAUAAGACUGUAUUUUCAUGGAGGCAUACAUGUGUAGUAAUUGUAAAAUGGUUCUGUUUUCAUAUCUGGAUCUUUUAUAUGUGUGUCUGAAUUAAGAAAUUCCCAUAAUAAAAUAAAAUCUUAAUUUAGCAAAAUUAAUAUAUAGAAAGAAAUUUUAUAAAUCAUAGACUUUUAAGAUGAUCAAAUAACCUUGCUGAUCAUCUAGUCUCACACCUUUUUUGUAGAAGGCUAGACUAAAAUUCAUAAAUGUAAAUGAUCUCUCUAAAGGCAUAUGGCAAGCUAUUGGACACACCAGGAAUAAAACCCAGGUCUUGGCCGGGCGAGGUGGCUCACGCCUGUAAUCCCAGCACUUUGGGAGGCCGAGGCGGGCGGAUCACGAGGUCAGGAGAUUGAGACCAUCCCGGCUAAAACGGUGAAACCCCGUCUCUACUAAAAAUACAAAAAUUUAGCCGGGCGUAGUGGCGGGCGCCUGUAGACCCAGCUACUUGGGAGGCUGAGGCAGGAGAAUGGCGUGAACCCGGGAGGCGGAGCUUGCAGUGAGCCGAGAUCCCGCCACUGCACUCCAGCCUGGGCGAUAGAGCGAGACUCCGUCUCAAAAAAAAAAAAAAAAAAACCCAGGUCUUCUGACUCCUAGUCCAGGACUCAUCACAAACACCAUGACUCAUUACUUUCAUUGUAAAAGACUCUGGCACAAGCUGUUAACUGGUUAAAUGGCUAAAGGAGGAAAGGUAAAAUAGUAAAACAGAGUGAAAGUGAUACCACCCUAUUGAAGAUCAUUCUAAAUUAAACAUAGAUGUCUUUGAGAUUAUAAAUAAAAAUAUACUUUGAAUAUAUUUGACUACAAAGUCAAUUUUAAAAUAUUCAAAGUUAGUUCUUCAAAAAACUAAUAAUAGAACUACAAUAUGAUCCAGCAAUCCCACUACUGGGUAUAUAUCCAAAGGAAAGGAAAUCAAUAUGUCUAAGAGACAUCUGUACUUCCAUGUUCAUUGAAGCAUUACUCACAGGAAUCAAGACAUGGAAUCAACCUAAGUGUUUAUCAGUGGAUGAACAGAUAAAGUAAAUGUAGUAUAUAUACACAAUGGAAUACUAUUCAGCUUUGAAAAUGAAGGAAACGCUGUCAUUUAAGACAACGUUAAUUCAGCCUGGAGAUCAUUAUCUCUAGGUUGUGAAAUAAGAAAGACAAAUACUGCAUGAUCUCACUUAAAUGUGGAAGCUAAAAAAGUUGAACUCACAGAAACAGAAAGUAAAAUAGUGGUUACCAGAGUCCUGGGGGUUAGUAGCAGGGAUGGAAGGAUUGAGAAGAUGUUGGUCAAAGAGCACAAAACUUCAGCUGGACCGAAAGAAUAAGUUUAAGAGUUCUAUUGUACAUCAUAAUGACUACAGUUAACAACAAUAUAUUGUAUAGUUGAAAAUUGCUAAGAAAUUGAUUUUAAGUGUCUUCGCCACAAAAAGAAAAUUAUGUGAGGUAGUGGACAUGUUAAAUAGCCUCAUUUAGCCAUUCCACAAUGUAUACAUACAUCAAAACAUCAUACGGUAUACCAUAUGUAUAUAUAAUUUUUAACUGUUGAUAAAAAAAUAAAAAUUUGAACAAAUAUAUAUUUUAUCUUUCAAAGAAGAUUCAGAAUUUAAAAUAUUAAAUUUAAAAUAUAGAAAUGUUAGUCUAAGUUUGGAUUUUCUAAUACAAAAUAUUGCUGCUUAACACUAAAGAGUAGGUAAAAAUACUAGUUUAAUUUUUUUAUCAUUUCCAAAAGAUUUUAGUAUUCUUUAAAAUAGUCUCACUUAUCUUAAUUGUUCAUUAAAGAUCUAUAAUCCAUUAUGUAUAUGUAUAUUGAAAGGAAAAGACCUAGUUUUGGGCCUUUAUUUUGGAAAAUCUAUGACUCUUUGACUCUGUUUUCUCAUCUAUAAAAUGGACUUUUGAGAACAUUCAACUAACUUGCAAUUAUGGUGAGAAUUAAUAUGUGAAAGAAAGUGCUCAGCUUCUGUCAAAUGCUUCUUGUGGGGUGUGUGUGUGUGUGUGUGUGUGUACAUGCCUGGGCAUUUGCAUGUAUUUGUGUGCCUGUGUUUGUGAUAAUAAUUUCUAUUUAUGUCAUGAUCUAGUGGUGCAAAGACAAAGGGUAUGUCUAUUUAAAAAGCUAGAGUGCAAGAAAGAAAGACAAGAAAUACUUCCUUCAGUAAAAAAUAGAUUUAAAGGGAGGGAUUAGUUUUAUUGAAACUAUGACUGCUGCUUCUCAUUGUCAGGGAAAGUAAUAUCACUAGGAGUUACAUGGAACAAAUGCUUAAAUAAAUGAUCGGGAUAGAUAGCUACUUACUCUGACUAAUAGGAAAUGAGUGACCUUUAAAAUGACUCAGAUUCCCAAAAAUCUCUGACUCCAUUCUAUAAUCUGUGUUUUGUUCCAUAUAAAAUUAAACAAUAAAUAUAGUUAGGAGCAAAAUUACAAAUCUAAAAGAGAUGAGGACUGGGAACCCGGGGACGAAAGUUCUACUCUUUUGUUCUUACUCACUUGGUUUGUGACCUUGAACAAAUCACUAUACCCUCCCGGGCUUCAGCCCCAUUACUUUCAACAUGAAGGGGGUCUAAGGUCCCUCCAGCUUUAACACUUGGUGACACUAUGAUUCCAGUUCAUAGCUUCUUGCUCACAAUAUUUGACACUUUGUUGACAUACUGUCAGAAACUUUACACAUUUUCCAAAAGCCAUCACAGAGUAUUAUCAGGUCAUUAAUGUAGAGUUUUAAGAGGAAACUAUAAAACGUCUUUCACUGGGUAUUUGUUAUAGCAACUACGUUUAUACUGUUGGAUUCCUCCGUGAUGAUAGAUAGAUAGACAGAUAGAUAGAUAGAUGAUAGAUAGAUAGAUGGAUAGAUAGAUAAAGAUAUACUUCCAAAAGAAAUCAAAUAUGUUAGGCUAAUACACUAUGAGUAAUAAAGUUGUACUACAAGUAUGUGUGACAAAAAUAUCUUCAUGUAAAUCUUCUGCUUAUUCCUACUCAGCUAAUGACAUAGAGAUAAAAUGUAUCUGAGCCCAUUUGUGCUUACUAAUGUAAAAAGUAAUAAUUUAUUUAUUUGUGUGUGUAUAUAUACACAUCAGUGUAUGUAUACGCAUAUAUGUAAAUAGAAAAAUUCUGGAAAAAUUGCUAAAAGAUGUAUACAUUAUAAUGUUUUACUAUAUAUACUUCUGUACCAUUUCACUUUUCCACAAUGAGCAUGUAACUACUUAAUUAUAAAUUAAAAAAGAAAACAGAAAAUAUAAACAUUUCUAGCCUUAUGCAAAGUUGUGUAAAUUUCUUUUGUAGAUUUCUGUGAUUUAUUUAUUUUCCCUUCAUAAAUGGCAUAUACAUGUAAUAUAUAUCUCUAUCUUUCACUAGCUGUGUCUGUAUGUAUAAAUAAAUUAAAUCCAGUAUGUGUUGAGCACUAAAUGUACCAGGCAUUGGUCUAAGCACUUUAAUUAUGAUAUACAACUCAGUACCCAUGACACCCUUGAGUGGAUUAUUUUUACUACCAGAUACAGA
This 5623-nucleotide long non-coding RNA is filed under the name Homo sapiens (human). Its description in RNAcentral is "HSALNT0306683". The record is from RNAcentral. Lineage: Eukaryota; Metazoa; Chordata; Mammalia; Primates; Hominidae.